RNAcentral lists this ribosomal RNA (470 nucleotides) under uncultured organism. RNAcentral's name for it is "partial 16S ribosomal RNA". It matches the Rfam family "Bacterial small subunit ribosomal RNA", at positions 334 to 800 of the family's 1533-position model. The record is from RNAcentral.
CACUCCUGCGGGAGGCAGCAGUGAGGAAUAUUGGACAAUGGGUGGAAGCCUGAUCCAGCCAUCCCGCGUGCAGGAAGACGGCCCUAUGGGUUGUAAACUGCUUUUAUCUGGGGAUAAACCUACUUACGUGUAAGUAGCUGAAGGUACCAGAAGAAUAAGCACCGGCUAACUCCGUGCCAGCAGCCGCGGUAAUACGGAGGGUGCAAGCGUUAUCCGGAUUUAUUGGGUUUAAAGGGUCCGUAGGCGGACUGAUAAGUCAGUGGUGAAAUCCGACAGCUUAACUGUCGAACUGCCAUUGAUACUGUUAGUCUUGAGUAAGGUUGAAGUGGCUGGAAUAAGUAGUGUAGCGGUGAAAUGCAUAGAUAUUACUUAGAACACCAAUUGCGAAGGCAGGUCACUAAGUCUUAACUGACGCUGAUGGACGAAAGCGUGGGGAGCGAACAGGAUUAGAAACCCCUGUAGUCCCAUGA